UUAACUAAUUAUGUAAUUUUUUUUCAAGGCAUGAAGAUCAUGGCCUGUUCGAGGGUGUCUUUGUCUGUAAAGAUGAAGAUGUUUCCAAGUUUGUGGACUACAUUAAUGCUAAGACAAAGCACGUAAGUUAUAUUGUUGUUUUGUCUUGGUGCAGUCUAAAAUUGUAUUCCCCCCAAAAAUAAAAAAAUCUUGCAUGGCUUAGACUAGAGUAAGGCAAAAAUUCAAAAGAACUUGUGGUCAUUUGAAAUGUGUCCUCCUUUUGGCCUUUUUUGUACAAAUUUCUGUUUCCUAUUGACAUUUAUCCAUAUAUGUAAUUUAAUACAAUGUUGUUGAAUCAUAAAAUUUCUUUUACUUUGUUCUAAACUUGAUAGUCAGCUGGAAAAGGUGUCUGUGGAUCAAGUCAAUGGAGUGCAGCACGGGAGUCUGUCCCAAAGAAAAUCAACAAGCUGGAUGAGGAGGGGAUGGAGGUGGCUGUCUGUCGACAUGGUGUGCUCCUGAGAAGUCUGAACAUGAUGAGGGGGGAAAUAUUUGCGUAUCCCCUGUUUCUCCAAAAAGAGCUGACUGCAAAGAAUGUGCAGUUCAUGUGCACUGAUGUUAUAUGCAAGUACUGGCCAUACCUGCAGAGAAUUGUUAAAGAUUGUCCAGAGCUCUCUCCUCUCCUGGACAUGAAGCCUUUCCUGUCAGUGAUGCAUGCAAAGGCCCACUCUUGGAAAUGUGAGAUUAAAUGGGGUGGUCGAAACCAAGAAGGAGCAGGCACCACCCUGGGGGAAGAGGUCGAACAAGUUAACAGCUUUUUGUCGAGAACUGCUAUAUGCAGUAAAUACAUGACCAAAGGAGGCAAGUAUAUAACUGCAAAGAUAUACAAUCCAAAGUUAGAAGUCAAAGCUACUUACAAAAAAAAUAUUUGAACAGCCUUAGUAUUCAACUUUUGCAUGAUCCUGUGUCAUCCACAUCGUUGUUAAUGCAAGCCCAAGACCAUCUUCAUAUCAGCCUUUAAAAAAAUGAUAAAGUGAAAAAGUAUGCAACAUUUAGGGGAGCUAUUGAUUAUUUAUAUUAUUAUUAUUUUUAUUUUUAUUUAUUUUUUAGCCAGAACAGACAUGAUUACAAUCCAGGCCAUGGCAUGGAAUCAGCGCAAAAUACGGAAACUUGCAAAAGCGCUGUCCCUAAGAUUUAAAAAGGUAUAUUUCUAAAUUACUUUUCUCUUUUAUAGGUGAAAGCUUUCGUUUCUUUUAAUGUUUAAUUUGGCUGUAGUGUUUGUUGUGCAAACAAGUAGGCAAGCUGUGUAGAACAACCACUAGAAAGUCAAAAGCAUGAAUUUCAAAACAAAGUUUACUUAUGAAAAUGUUAUACACUUUUCCAUUUGAAAAGGCUCAUUAGUCCUNAUAUAAGCUUCAUCCUUAUACCUCUGAUGUAAUAAUAAUGCACAUAUUUAUUUCUAUUGUAAAUGCAUUUCUUAUCAAUAAUUUAGCAACAAGUGAGGAGAACACAGACAGUCAGCAGGUGCUCCAGAAGACUAUUGAGACGCUUUAUGUGAGCAUCAGGCAGAGAAAGCAAGAUCUUUACCGUCAAUCAGGUUAGAUAACUUUAAACAUUAAAUCAUUUUUAAAGGUUUUAAAGACCAAUUCACACUGCACAGAUAAACACCAACAAGCAUGUUUGUUGUGUUUUGUCGGAUCAGUGGUGUCUGUUGACAUUAAUCAGGGUUUUUUCUCACCUGACUGAACAUGUUCAAUCAGCAUCUGUUGGGAGAGUGUAAACAUGGCGAGGCCAGAGAUGUGAACAAUUUAUUUUUCAGAAAAUUCUGAAUCCAAAAGCAAAUAAAUAUUUUGCAAAUAAAUUUCUCA
Molecule: long non-coding RNA, 1844 nt
Organism: Cyprinus carpio (common carp)
Lineage: Eukaryota; Metazoa; Chordata; Actinopteri; Cypriniformes; Cyprinidae
Source: Ensembl